Molecule: unclassified non-coding RNA, 240 nt
Filed under: fungal sp.
Lineage: Eukaryota; Fungi
Description: partial internal transcribed spacer region
Rfam family: Eukaryotic small subunit ribosomal RNA (bases 1-45)
Source: RNAcentral
AGUCGUAACAAGGUAUCCGUAGGUGAACCUGCGGAUGGAUCAUUACCAAAAAGGAUUUUUCCUGACGUACUGUGAACUGUAUUGAAUGCAUGGUUAGUGAGUGGAGGUUUUGUGGAGUUUUAUUUCUCUAUAACCCCAAUACUCAUUAACUAUAAACAAAACGUAUUUUCUCCAUAAACUGACGUCUGCUUUAGCUUAAUAAACUAAAGACAACUUUUAGCAAUGGAUCUCUUGGCUCUC